UACGGGAGGCAGCAGUGGGGAAUAUUGCACAAUGGACGAAAGUCUGAUGCAGCAACGCCGCGUGGAGGAUGACACAUUUCGGUGCGUAAACUCCUUUUAUAUGAGAAGAAAAUGACGGUAUCAUAUGAAUAAGCGCCGGCUAACUCCGUGCCAGCAGCCGCGGUAAUACGGAGGGCGCAAGCGUUACUCGGAAUCACUGGNNNNAAAGAGCGUGUAGGCGGGAAUUUAAGUUGGAAGUGAAAUCCUAUGGCUCAACCAUAGAACUGCUUCCAAAACUGAAUACCUAGAAUAUGGGAGAGGUAGAUGGAAUUUCUGGUGUAGGGGUAAAAUCCGUAGAGAUCAGAAGGAAUACCGAUUGCGAAGGCGAUCUACUGGAACAUUAUUGACGCUGAGACGCGAAAGCGUGGGGAGCAAACAGGAUUAGAUACCCUGGUAGUCCACGCCCUAAACGAUGUACAUUAGUUGUUGCGAUGCUAGACACNNCAGUAAUGCAGNNAACACAUNAAAU
This 508-nucleotide ribosomal RNA is filed under the name uncultured bacterium. RNAcentral's name for it is "bacterial SSU rRNA". It matches the Rfam family "Bacterial small subunit ribosomal RNA", at positions 340 to 865 of the family's 1533-position model. The record is from RNAcentral.